Molecule: unclassified non-coding RNA, 343 nt
Filed under: soil metagenome
Description: partial contains 5.8S ribosomal RNA, internal transcribed spacer 2, and large subunit ribosomal RNA
Rfam family: 5.8S ribosomal RNA (bases 1-120)
Source: RNAcentral
GAUGAAGAACGCAGCGAAAUGCGAUAAGUAAUGUGAAUUGCAGAAUCCAGUGAAUCAUCGAAUCUUUGAACGCACAUUGCGCCCGCCAGCAUUCUGGCGGGCAUGCCUGUUCGAGCGUCAUUUCAACCCUCGACCUCCCUUUGGGGAAGUCGGCGUUGGGGACCGGCAGCACACCGCCGGCCCUGAAAUGGAGUGGCGGCCCGUCCGCGGCGACCUCUGCGUAGUAAUCCAACUCGCACCGGAACCCCGACGCGGCCACGCCGUAAAACACCCAACUUCUGAACGUUGACCUCGUAUCAGGUAGGACUACCCGCUGAACUUAAGCAUAUCAAUAAGCGGAGGA